GGAACCCUCCCAUGGAUGGCACCUGAGCUACUGAAUGGUAGCAGCAAUAAGGUCUCUGAGAAGGUUGAUGUGUUCUCUUUCGGUAUUGUCUUGUGGGAGAUUCUCACAGGAGAGGAACCAUAUGCGAACAUGCAUUAUGGGGCUAUCAUAGGGGGUAUUGUGAACAACACAUUGAGACCAACCAUUCCAAGUUACUGUGAUUCUGAAUGGAGAAGGUUGAUGGAACAUUGCUGGGCGCCAAAUCCUGCAGAUAGGCCAUCCUUCACCGAAGUUGCUGGCCGCCUGCGCGUUAUGUCAACAGCUGCUGCUAGCCAAACAAAAGCACAAGGUCCCAAAAUACCAAGGUCAUAAUUAUUCAAAUGGAUUGUUGAGUUAUUCACAUGCUUUCUUAUUAUAUAUUUGUUCAUUCUAUUCUACAGUCUUGAAAAUUGUGUGUAUUUUUGUCAAUAGAAGGUAG
This 457-nucleotide unclassified non-coding RNA is filed under the name Hevea brasiliensis (rubber tree). Lineage: Eukaryota; Viridiplantae; Streptophyta; Magnoliopsida; Malpighiales; Euphorbiaceae. The record is from RNAcentral.